CGGUAUCAAAACUGGACGACUGGCCGGACUGACAUUGUUUCAAACUUUCCAGGAUUUUAAAGUAGUUUAACGGUUACGAGGCCCCUUCAUGGGGAUAUGAUACUGUUGUCAUUCGCUGUCACGGCAAUGUAUGCCUUACUCGGCGUGCCUCCCCCAGUCCCAUUUUUACCAGUAAGACAAUCAGAGACAGACUCUCUACAAGGUACAAGCGACAGUAACAUCAAUUCGCCCUGUGAUUCGAACCAAGAAAGACAAGGGAAAAAACAGACUAAAUCGAGGCUGUCAAUCACGAAAAAAGAUCAAUUAUCUACUGCUAGGAAAGGUUCCCGAGAAUCACAUCCGAGCCCUAAAUCGACGACAAUGAGCUCGAAAGGAUGGAAUCCGAUUGGAAAGGGAAAGGGUAUCAAGGGUUCAUUGGAUUCACCGCAAUCAAGCCCACAAAUGCGCGCGAAUAGAUUCCGUCGUCAGGGGGAUGCUUUAGAUCAUGGCGACCAAGCAAAGAAAACCGAAGAAACUCCAAGAAAGAGCA
Molecule: long non-coding RNA, 529 nt
Organism: Liolophura sinensis
Lineage: Eukaryota; Metazoa; Mollusca; Polyplacophora; Chitonida; Chitonidae
Exons: 3
Source: RefSeq, a predicted model, not a curated record